RNAcentral lists this ribosomal RNA (533 nucleotides) under uncultured bacterium. RNAcentral's name for it is "bacterial SSU rRNA". It matches the Rfam family "Bacterial small subunit ribosomal RNA", at positions 392 to 919 of the family's 1533-position model. The record is from RNAcentral.
CCAUGCCGCGUGUCUGAAGAAGGCCUUCGGGUUGUAAGGACUUUUGUCAGGGAGCAAAACUUACUGGUUAAUACCUGGUGAGGUUGAGAGUACCUGAAGAAUAAGCACCGGCUAACUACGUGCCAGCAGCCGCGGUAAUACGUAGGGUGCAAGCGUUAAUCGGAAUUACUGGGCGUAAAGCGUGCGCAGGCGGACUUUUAAGCCAGAUGUGAAAGCCCCGAGCUUAACUUGGGAAUUGCGUUUGGAACUGGGAGUCUAGAGUCUGUCAGAGGGGGAUGGAAUUCCACGUGUAGCAGUGAAAUGCGUAGAGAUGUGGAGGAACACCGAUGGCGAAGGCAGUCCCCUGGGAUAAGACUGACGCUCAUGCACGAAAGCGUGGGGAGCAAACAGGAUUAGAUACCCUGGUAGUCCACGCCCUAAACGAUGUCUACUAGUUGUUGGGGUAGCAAUACCUCAGUGACGCAGCUAACGCGUGAAGUAGACCGCCUGGGGAGUACGGUCGCAAGAUUAAAACUCAAAGGAAUUGACGGGGG